GAAGCGAAAAGGGCUGACAGCUACAGCCUUCCUGUUGGGUUUAAAUUAGGAAACAGUGUUCCUGGUGAUUGCUAGAAAGCUAGACAGAGUCUAAAGUGCAUCUGAAAAUCUCAAAGGGUCCCCGGAAGCCUGCAGCCUAUCCCAGGGGACUCGGGGCACGAGGUGGGGGACGCAAUGGACAGGGUGCAAACCCAUCAAAGGGCACAAUCACACACGCAUUCACACAUCACAGACAAUUUAGAGAUGCCAAUCAGUCCACAGUGCAUGUCUUCGGACUAGGGGAGGAAACCGAAGUACCCGAGGAAACCCCGGAAGCACGGUGAGAACAUGCGAA
Long non-coding RNA from Ictalurus punctatus (channel catfish), 334 nucleotides. The record is from Ensembl. Lineage: Eukaryota; Metazoa; Chordata; Actinopteri; Siluriformes; Ictaluridae.